GUCACAAUUUUGUUUUAAAAUAUUAUCAUAAAAAUGCUGAGUUAUCCACGUUUAGCGCAGUUCUCUCCUCUACUUUGAAAAGAGUAACUCUGUUUUUCUCCCUGUAGGGGGGAAAAUAUUCACAUCUGGAUUAUCCAAAGUCAUGGAUUCAAGUUUAUUUGUGUUUCCCACAUAGAGUUGUUCAUUUCUGGAAAAAUUAACACAUUCAUAAAAGUUGUGAGCUGUAAAGACUUGAAUGACCAGAAUGUUAAGUAUUAUUUGAGGGACAUUCUACUAGAAAAACACCAAGUGAGUCAUCAUCAGAAGGCCAAGAUUCUAAGACGAAGCUCUGCCAUUAUUUAACUACAUAAUCUUGGGUAAAUCAGUAGACUGGAGUUCCCUUCACAUCAAUUAUCUCAUCUCUAAGAUAAGUAUCAUAAUCACUUUCCUGCUUACUUUGGAGUUGUAAUAAUCAAAUGCUCACUUUGAAAAUGUUAAGGGUUUAUAUACAAGACAUUAUUAAUAUUCUACAGUAGGAUAUUGGCUAGGAUUGACUGGAAAUAUUUCUGAGUCCGAAGUAGCCACUAGUUUUUGUCUACAUAAGAAAAUGCUUCCCAUUCCCAGAAAGAUACAAAUAUCUACAUUUGGAACCUAAAAUAGACAUGAAAUUAUUUGUUUACAAUAUGGUAACGUAUAUCUAUAUAUAUGUACUUAGGAAUUAUUUUUAGCAAAUGAAAAAGAAUUGUAACUAAAUGCAAAAGAAUAGUAAAUCAAGAUAUUUACCAAAAUAAAAAAGAAAGAUUAUAUGCUACA
This 792-nucleotide long non-coding RNA is filed under the name Vulpes vulpes (red fox). RNAcentral's name for it is "lncRNA (ENSVVUG00000004964.1)". Lineage: Eukaryota; Metazoa; Chordata; Mammalia; Carnivora; Canidae. The record is from RNAcentral.